UACGUAGGGUCCAAGCGUUAUCCGGAAUUACUGGGCGUAAAGAGUUGCGUAGGUGGCAUAGUAAGCGAAUAGUAAAAUGACGGGGCUCAACCCCGUGUCUAUUAUUUGAACUGCUAAGCUAGAGGACGAGAGAGGUUAUUGGAAUUCCCAGUGUAGGAGUGAAAUCCGUAGAUAUUGGGAGGAACCCCGAUGGCGUAGUCAGAUAACUGGCUCGUUCCUGACACUAAGGCACGAAAGCGUGGGUAGCAAACGGG
RNAcentral lists this ribosomal RNA (254 nucleotides) under uncultured bacterium. RNAcentral describes it as "partial 16S ribosomal RNA". It matches the Rfam family "Bacterial small subunit ribosomal RNA", at positions 524 to 776 of the family's 1533-position model. The record is from RNAcentral.